Molecule: long non-coding RNA, 775 nt
Organism: Oncorhynchus keta (chum salmon)
Lineage: Eukaryota; Metazoa; Chordata; Actinopteri; Salmoniformes; Salmonidae
Exons: 3
Source: RefSeq, a predicted model, not a curated record
AAAAAAACAACAACUAAAGAAAAAUAAUCCUAAGGAAAAGCAAAGAUAAAAAUGUGUUUUUAAGAUUUAUUUUAAAUAUGUCCACAGUUUCUGCCUCCUUCAGGUUCUCUGGCAGGCUAUUCCACAGGCUAGGGUCAUAAUAACUAAAGGCUGUCUCUCCAUGCCUCUUGGUCCCCCUCAGGUUCUCUGGCAGGCUAUUCCACAGGCUGGGGUCAUAAUAACUAAAGGCUGUCUCUCCAUGCCUCUUGGUCCCCCUCAGGUUCUCUGGCAGGCUAUUCCAGAGGCUGGGGUCAUAAUAACUAAAGGCUGUCUCUCCAUGCCUCUUGGUCCCCCUCAGGUUCUCUGGCAGGCUAUUCCAGAGGCUGGGGUCAUAAUAACUAAAGGCUGUCUCUCCAUGCCUCUUGGUCCCCCUCAGGUUCUCUGGCAGGCUAUUCCAGAGGCUGGGGUCAUAAUAACUAAAGGCUGUCUCUCCAUGCCUCUUGGUCCCCCUCAGGUUCUCUGGCAGGCUAUUCCACAGGCUGGGGUCAUAAUAACUAAAGGCUGUCUCUCCAUGCCUCUUGGUCCCCCUCAGGUUCUCUGGCAGGCUAUUCCAGAGGCUGGGGUCAUAAUAACUAAAGGCUGUCUCUCCAUGCCUCUUGGUCCCCCUCAGGUUCUCUGGCAGGCUAUUCCACAGGCUGGGGUCAUAAUAACUAAAGGCUGUCUCUCCAUGCCUCUUGGUCCCCCUCAGGUUCUCUGGCAGGCUAUUCCACAGGCUGGGGUCAUAAUAACUAAAGGC